UUAAUAAAUUCCACAGAGAAAUCAUAGAAUAGGAGAAUUACAGUUUUCUAAAUAUACAUUUUUGGUUUUGAAUUUGUUUAAACAUAAAAUUUUAUCAGAUGGCACGAAAACGGAACGUAAAAUUUUGUUUAUACUGAAUUCUACAUCGCGGAACAUGAAUUGCAUUCAUAAAUCAAAACCAAACAGCUGACACGUUUUUCUACAUUUACGGUAUGUUUACGAGACAUAGCCAGGCCUUUAAUGGUAAGCAAACUUACCUCUUUUAAAAAAUAUAUUAAUCACGUUACCAAUGGGAUAUUCUACAAAUAUCGUCAAUACGAAUGCAAAACUUAUUGACAGAAUGAUUGCCAAUAUGAUUUGGCAAAACUGGGUAGAGUAAAUCAAUUGAUUCAAGUAUAUUGGAUGCCGAUGGGAACCAAAUAAUAUUCUCAAUAUUGGUACAUGCCACAAAUACAUUUGAAAUGUGAGCCUACCCAAAAGUCGGAAAAUUCCACAGUUUGAGAUGUCAUAAGCUAGACCUUAAAAUUCAAUAUAUAUUAAAUUAAUAAUGAAA
Molecule: long non-coding RNA, 553 nt
Organism: Stomoxys calcitrans (stable fly)
Lineage: Eukaryota; Metazoa; Arthropoda; Insecta; Diptera; Muscidae
Exons: 2
Source: RefSeq, a predicted model, not a curated record